Long non-coding RNA from Musa acuminata AAA Group (dessert banana), 1859 nucleotides. RefSeq lists it as uncharacterized. The record is from RefSeq and is a predicted model, not a curated record. Lineage: Eukaryota; Viridiplantae; Streptophyta; Magnoliopsida; Zingiberales; Musaceae. The transcript has 3 exons.
GAAGCGGUGACCAUAACCACGUGCUCAACCUUCCACCGACCGCCCCUCCCAUAACCGCCUCCGUCCAGCGAUGGUUUCAUCUCGCUCACCCGCUCGCCCCUCCCCCUCGUCGCCUCCGAUCCCUCUUGAAAUCUUCCAACAACAGGUCCUUUCACGGCCACAAUCCCCGAUCGCCCAACCUGCCUCGCUGACCAACUGGAGUCCCUCGCCGCCGCAGUUUCGAGUAUCUAAAAUUACCCUCGAUCAUGUCUUGCCCCUCCCCUUCCGUGGCCUCCGAUCCUUCUUAAGAUCUUCCAACAACAGGUCCAUUCACAGCCGCAGUCCCCAAUCGCGCACCGUGCCCCUCCUAUCAAGUGGAGUCCCUCGCCGCCGCAGGCAAAGGAGCACUCUGUAGGCAGGCCCUGUGGGAACCUCUUGAGGUCGCUGCAGUAGUUGUAGAUCAUGUAGUUCUUCUGCACCCAAUUCAUCUUCUCUUGGCCUGUGGUGUCCAGCUCUUGGCUCCACCACCCGCUGCUGCUGGGGACAGUGUCGGCCCUGAAGCUUCUAUAUGAGGCCGUGAACGGUGCCUGCGACCAGUCGGUCUUGACCAGGCCGCCUCUGGUAGCCCAGUCAUCCGCGUUCCAGAGGCUGGAGUAGAUCCUCAUGGGCUGGUUCUUGGGGAACGCGACGCCCCUCGAUUCCAGGUUCUUGAAGUCUCUGAUCGGGAUGCGGUCAACCAUGAAGCUGCAGAGGAGGCGACAGAGUGUGAGAUCGACAUCGACGGCGUACCGGAACGAAGCUGGGCAAAGCAUGGACCGGCGGGGUACUCACAUGAUAUGGCUAGGGUUCCAGAGGAUGGUGUAGGUGUGGAAGUCCGCGGUGGGAUCAAACCAGAGCUUGAACUGCAUCUCCCUGUUCCCCUUCCCUUGGGCGAACACGUUGGUGUGGAGGGUGUAGGGAUCUCCGCUGACAUUUCCGAGGAACUCGAAGUCGAUCUCGUCAUGCGUCGGCCCUUGCGAGGACAACUGCAGGCAUCAAGCGACACGGCGUCGAACACUUAGUUGCAGAAGAUUCAGAACGAAGGAAGAAGAGAAUGUACGAUGAGAAGGGCAAGGAGGGGCAUACAUAGUAGGCAGUGACGGUGCCGGCGGAGUUCCCCGGAACGAGCUUGAUCUGCAUGUCGAUCUUGCCGAAGAGGUACUCCUUCUUCGACUGGAAUCCCGAGCCCGAGGCCUUGUCGAGGGUGAGGGUGAGGAGCUGGCCGCUCUCGAGGACCUUGGCGCGGCCGUCGCCCCAGAUGAUGUCGAACUCCUGGUCGAAGUUGCCGGCGGCGGCGAUGGCCAGCAAAGAGGAAGCUAUCAGCAGAAACCGCAUCGCCAUUGUGAGCAACACAAGUAGCAGCAGUAGUAGCUGUAAGCAAGAGAAGUGGAGAGUGGGUGAUGGGAUGAGUGAGGUUUGGAGCUGUUUAUAAAGGGGGAAGAGAAGAGGAAAGAGAAAGCCAUGGUAUAGGUUGGGAAUGGACUGGAGAGUGCCUGUGGAAAGAAGGUGGUGAGGGGUUUCGCAUGGCCAGCUUGCAAUUGCACGUCCAAUGGGGAUCUGCUGCUUAAAGUUGGUGCAGUGCCAGCGAGUAACGCAGCUUAAUUAGUAUGCUCCAUGCAGUUCUUUAUUGGACGCGCUUGAGACAGAGGUGUUCUCCAGCUGUUGGUUGAGUGGACGCGUUGACUGUCUUCUUUGAUCAUUUGGUGGGCAGGAUUGGAAUCCGGAGGGGAAGAGACUGUGAAGGGGAGGUGCAUAAUAAUAAUGAUGAUGAUAAUUAUUAUUAUUAUCAUUAUGAUGAUGAUGAUAGCGAAUUUUUAAAAAAUAUAUUUAAUUUUGAGAAA